GGCAUUGUUAAAUUCAAUAAUAUAAAAUUAUCCCAACACAUAUAUAAAUACAAAAUACAAAACAACAAUUUCAAGGCUCAAAGAGAACACAUGAAAUCUAAAUUCUCAAGUCCAUAAGCACAAACUAGAAAUACAAAACCAAUUUCAAUUUCUUUAUAUGCAAUCCUUUUGUCUCUUCAACAUGUGCAAAUCCUGAAAAAAAAUACCAUCAUCUAUAGUCCAUGGCUUGAGCAUAUCAGAACGAAGAAGAAGAUGGAAGGCAUGGGUACACAAAGAAUGAAGAAGAAGGUAGAAGAACAAAGAUCAGUUCUCUGAAUAUUUGAAGAUAGAAGAUUGAGACUAAAAAUCGAGGAUGGAUCAAAGAAGAACUAAUAAUCGAUUGAGAGAAGAAGAAGAAAAGGAGGAGGAGGGUAGAGAUGAUCAUGGAGACGAAGAAGGACGGAUGGGGGUGGAGAUGAGAUUAAAAAUUGAUGAAGAUAAACUGUGAUGGGAGAGGCGGCAAAGAGAAAAUGAUGGAUAGACUAGGUUUUCUU
RNAcentral lists this long non-coding RNA (533 nucleotides) under Manihot esculenta (cassava). RNAcentral's name for it is "long non-coding RNA (MESC_LNC005419)". Lineage: Eukaryota; Viridiplantae; Streptophyta; Magnoliopsida; Malpighiales; Euphorbiaceae. The record is from RNAcentral.